Non-coding RNA from Acanthosepion pharaonis, 113 nucleotides. NCBI's taxonomy places the organism in Eukaryota, Metazoa, Mollusca, Cephalopoda, Sepiida, Sepiidae. The record is from the annotation of a GenBank genome assembly.
UUACGGCCAUAUCACGUUGAAACAGCGAUUCUCGUUCGAUCACUGAAGUUAAACAACGUGGGGCCUGCUCAGUACCUAGAUGGAUGACCGUUUUGGAAUACCAGGCGCUGAAA